GAUGAACGCUGGCGGCGUGCCUAAUACAUGCAAGUCGAGCGAACAGACGAGGAGCUUGCUCCUCUGACGUUAGCGGCGGACGGGUGAGUAACACGUGGAUAACCUACCUAUAAGACUGGGAUAACUUCGGGAAACCGGAGCUAAUACCGGAUAAUAUAUUGAACCGCAUGGUUCAAUAGUGAAAGACGGUUUUGCUGUCACUUAUAGAUGGAUCCGCGCCGCAUUAGCUAGUUGGUAAGGUAACGGCUUACCAAGGCAACGAUGCGUAGCCGACCUGAGAGGGUGAUCGGCCACACGGGAACUGAGACACGGUCCAGACUCCUACGGGAGGCAGCAGUAGGGAAUCUUCCGCAAUGGGCGAAAGCUUGACGGAGCAACGCCGCGUGAGUGAUGAAGGUCUUCGGUUCGUAAAACUCUGUUAUUAGGGAAGAACAAAUGUGUAAGUAACUAUGCACGUCUUGACGGUACCUAAUCAGAAAGCCACGGCUAACUACGUG
RNAcentral lists this ribosomal RNA (497 nucleotides) under uncultured bacterium. RNAcentral describes it as "partial 16S ribosomal RNA". It matches the Rfam family "Bacterial small subunit ribosomal RNA", at positions 28 to 507 of the family's 1533-position model. The record is from RNAcentral.